RNAcentral lists this transfer RNA (82 nucleotides) under Chlorokybus atmophyticus. RNAcentral describes it as "tRNA-Leu". It matches the Rfam family "tRNA". Rfam says of the family: Transfer RNA (tRNA) molecules are approximately 80 nucleotides in length. Lineage: Eukaryota; Viridiplantae; Streptophyta; Chlorokybophyceae; Chlorokybales; Chlorokybaceae. The record is from RNAcentral.
ACCUUCGUGGUGAAAUUGGUAGACACGCAUCGUUGAGGUCGAUGUGCCGUUAGGCUUGCCGGUUCAAGUCCGGUCGAAGGUA